RNAcentral lists this unclassified non-coding RNA (605 nucleotides) under Hevea brasiliensis (rubber tree). Lineage: Eukaryota; Viridiplantae; Streptophyta; Magnoliopsida; Malpighiales; Euphorbiaceae. The record is from RNAcentral.
GCAUCAGUGGCAGCAGUAGAUGCAAAAGUUACAAACAACAUCAUUUCUAUUUGAUGGAUUCAAUAAAUGACAAUACUUCCAAGCAGGAUCUUUGUUACUAUUGUCAUUUUUAGCAUCAGUGGCAGCAGUAGAUGCAAAAGUUACAAACAACAUCAUUUCUAUUUGAUGGAUUCAAUAAAUGACAAUACUUCCAAGCAGGAUCUUUGUUACUAUUGUCAUUUUUAACAUCAGUGGCAGCAGUAGAUGCUUCAGUUUCCAUCUUCCUGCAAAUCUUCAAAUGACCAAAUUUGCAAAACAGAUGCAAGGAAAUUAAGGCUAAUUUUCAUUAAAUUUGUUACCUAACUAGUAAUUACUUGAUUAGCAUGCCAAAAUUCUCAUUCAUAAUCCAAUAUAUAAAACUCAAACUCUUAACUACACAUGAAUUAAAGAAAUUAACUAAAUUAUAUUUAUAAUUUCACUAAAAUAGUAAAAUGAUAACACAAUUUCAAGUAAAGAAUUUCAUUAAUUGAAUCAUAAUUUUACCAAAAUGAUAACACAAUUUCAAUGGCUUCUUUCACUAAAGUAUAAUUUCUCUAAUAAUCCAUGCCACAUAAAUAUAAAUUAAU